RNAcentral lists this ribosomal RNA (497 nucleotides) under uncultured bacterium. RNAcentral describes it as "partial 16S ribosomal RNA". It matches the Rfam family "Bacterial small subunit ribosomal RNA", at positions 28 to 507 of the family's 1533-position model. The record is from RNAcentral.
GAUGAACGCUGGCGGCGUGCCUAAUACAUGCAAGUCGAGCGAACAGAUGAGGAGCUUGCUCCUCUGACGUUAGCGGCGGACGGGUGAGUAACACGUGGAUAACCUACCUAUAAGACUGGGAUAACUUCGGGAAACCGGAGCUAAUACCGGAUAAUAUAUUGAACCGCAUGGUUCAAUAGUGAAAGACGGUUUUGCUGUCACUUAUAGAUGGAUCCGCGCCGCAUUAGCUAGUUGGUAAGGUAACGGCUUACCAAGGCAACGAUGCGUAGCCGACCUGAGAGGGUGAUCGGCCACACUGGAACUGAGACACGGUCCAGACUCCUACGGGAGGCAGCAGUAGGGAAUCUUCCGCAAUGGGCGAAAGCCUGACGGAGCAACGCCGCGUGGUGGAUGAAGGUCUUCGGAUCGUAAAACUCUGUUAUUAGGGAAGAGCAAAUGUGUAAGUAACUAUGCACGUCUUGACGGUACCUAAUCAGAAAGCCACGGCUAACUACGUG